This 287-nucleotide ribosomal RNA is filed under the name uncultured bacterium. Its description in RNAcentral is "partial 16S ribosomal RNA". It matches the Rfam family "Bacterial small subunit ribosomal RNA", at positions 335 to 638 of the family's 1533-position model. The record is from RNAcentral.
ACACCUACGGGGGGCAGCAGUGGGGAAUAUUGCGCAAUGGGGGCAACCCUGACGCAGCAACGCCGCGUGAUUGAAGACGGCCUUCGGGUUGUAAAGAUCUUUAAUCGGGGACGAAUUUUGACGGUACCCGAAGAAUAAGCUCCGGCUAACUACGUGCCAGCAGCCGCGGUAAUACGUAGGGAGCAAGCGUUAUCCGGAUUUACUGGGUGUAAAGGGAGCGUAGACGGCAGGGCAAGUCUGGAGUGAAAGCCUGGGGCCCAACCCCGGGACGGCUUUGGAAACUGCAA